RNAcentral lists this ribosomal RNA (258 nucleotides) under uncultured prokaryote. Its description in RNAcentral is "partial 16S ribosomal RNA". It matches the Rfam family "Bacterial small subunit ribosomal RNA", at positions 524 to 780 of the family's 1533-position model. The record is from RNAcentral.
UACGUAGUGUGCGAGCGUUGUCCGGAAUUACUGGGCGUAAAGAGCUCGUAGGUGGUUUGUCACGUCGUCUGUGAAAUUCCGGGGCUUAACCUCGGGCGUGCAGGCGAUACGGGCAAUACUUGAGUGCUGUAGGGGAGACUGGAAUCCCUGGUGUAGCGGUGAAAUGCGCAGAUAUCAGGAGGAACACCAAUGGCGAAGGCAGGUCUCUGGGCAGUUACUGACGCUGAGGAGCGAAAGCAUGGGUAGCGAACAGGAUUA